AGAAAGGUACACUGGUGUUUAGUCAUGUGCUUCAGUGAUCAUUCGUUAGUCGUUACCUGAAGAUUAAAAGCACAGAAAUUAUUAAAAGCGUAAUUUGUUAAAUCUCAAUAUCAAGGUGAGAGAACGAGAACCUGCAUUUAAACUUGUUCCAACUUCCAAGGGUUUAAGUCACCACGUGCUUAACAACAGAAUCUUUCGUUUAAAAGUUUAAUAUAGUGACAAUUGCAGGUAAAUACUUAUUAGUAAUGUUGUAUCUCUUUAUUUCAUUCACUAACUAUACACAAAUUUCUGUAUAUAACCUGGCACAACCAUUUAUGGAAGCAAACUUUUGUUAAUGAAUAACAUGUGAAACCUCUAUUAGAGUCAUCUUUAAAAUAACAGUUUUUAGAAUGUAUAAUUGAGCACUGAAUACUUCACUGUAAAACUAAUUUCAAUGAUCUUCAAAUCCUGGCAUUGGGAACUGCAGAGCAAAUUUGUUCACUUCGCUUUUCAGUGCAGCCAUUUUAGCCUUGAUUUCAUCAUUAUUCU
Molecule: long non-coding RNA, 528 nt
Organism: Daphnia pulex (common water flea)
Lineage: Eukaryota; Metazoa; Arthropoda; Branchiopoda; Diplostraca; Daphniidae
Exons: 2
Source: RefSeq, a predicted model, not a curated record